CUAUUUGCAGAGCCUAAAGAAGCCCGUUGCCAAGGUGACAGGAGUAGGAACAGCAGGGAGCUUGCCAUGGGGGAGGGGCUUUGCCCCCAAACAGCUGUCAGUGGGAGCAGUCCCAGCUGGGACUAGAGCGGUGGCCUGCUCGGGGGAGCAAGCAGCCCCCAGGAGCACACAUUCCUCCCCGCUCUCCCCCCACCGCCCCCUUCACCGCAAGUCUCCACCGGUUACGUUCCCUGGGGGCAACCAGCCAGCCGGCUCAAAAAAGGCUCCAAUAACAAACAAAAAAACCUGCCGCUCCGCUCCCCCCACCCCCAACGCAUGCGCACACACGCUGCUCCCUCAGUUCAUUCACACGGGUUGGCUGGGCAGGAGGCCAGAAGUUACCUCCGCCUGGGGAACUGCGACGCCCAGGGCAGGUGCUGCUCCAGGUUGCACCCCCACCCCCGGUCAGGUUCAGCACCCAGGUUGUCCUCCCAGACGUUGCCAACAUGUCCUCUUGCCAGCCCGGAGGUGACUACCCAGGUGGUGUCUUACCUGGACAGUCUGCCGGUCAGGAAUGCCACUGUAUACAGAAAUCUGGGGCCCUGCAGGGCGGCCACUUCCACCACUGUUGCUGCUGUUGCCACCGCCGCUGCUGCUACUGACCCCACUGUGUCUCUGGAAACUGAAGCGAGAGCUCACAAAGGCAGAAACGAAGGAUGAGACGUUAAAACUGGCCGUGUGGUCCUAGCAAUCAGAGUGGAACAAUUUCACUGGGAAACAGAACCCAACAAAUAAACAAUGUUUUUAAAGACAA
This is a non-coding RNA of Sus scrofa (pig), 793 nucleotides long. Lineage: Eukaryota; Metazoa; Chordata; Mammalia; Artiodactyla; Suidae. The record is from RefSeq and is a predicted model, not a curated record.